CCGGUAUAGUGGUUAGUAACGCUGACUGAGGAUCCGUAGGGCCUGGGUUCGAAUCCCGAGAAGAAGGC
Trichonephila clavipes is the source of this 68-nucleotide non-coding RNA. The record is from the annotation of a GenBank genome assembly. Lineage: Eukaryota; Metazoa; Arthropoda; Arachnida; Araneae; Nephilidae.